This 496-nucleotide ribosomal RNA is filed under the name uncultured bacterium. RNAcentral describes it as "partial 16S ribosomal RNA". It matches the Rfam family "Bacterial small subunit ribosomal RNA", at positions 28 to 506 of the family's 1533-position model. The record is from RNAcentral.
GAUGAACGCUGGCGGCGUGCCUAAUACAUGCAAGUCGAGCGAACAGAUGAGGAGCUUGCUCCUCUGACGUUAGCGGCGGACGGGUGAGUAACACGUGGAUAACCUACCUAUAAGACUGGGAUAACUUCGGGAAACCGGAGCUAAUACCGGAUAAUAUAUUGAACCGCAUGGUUCAAUAGUGAAAGACGGUUUUGCUGUCACUUAUAGAUGGAUCCGCGCCGCAUUAGCUAGUUGGUAAGGUAACGGCUUACCAAGGCAACGAUGCGUAGCCGACCUGAGAGGGUGAUCGGCCACACUGGAACUGAGACAAGGUCCAGACUCCUACGGGAGGCAGCAGUAGGGAAUCUUCCGAAAUGGGCGAAAGCCUGACGGAGCAACGCCGCGUGAGUGAUGAAGGUCUUCGGAUCGUAAAACUCUGUUAUUAGGGAAGAACAAAUGUGUAAGUAACUAUGCACGUCUUGACGGUACCGAAGCAGAAAGCCACGGCUAACUACGU